RNAcentral lists this ribosomal RNA (664 nucleotides) under uncultured archaeon. RNAcentral's name for it is "bacterial SSU rRNA". It matches the Rfam family "Archaeal small subunit ribosomal RNA", at positions 691 to 1353 of the family's 1478-position model. The record is from RNAcentral.
CCGACGGUGAGAGGUGAAAGCUGGGGGAGCAAACCGGAUUAGAUACCCGGGUAGUCCCAGCUGUAAACUAUGCAAACUCAGUGAUGCAUUGGCUUGUGGCCAAUGCAGUGCUGCAGGGAAGCCGUUAAGUUUGCCGCCUGGGAAGUACGUACGCAAGUAUGAAACUUAAAGGAAUUGGCGGGGGAGCACCACAAGGGGUGAAGCCUGCGGUUCAAUUGGAGUCAACGCCAGAAAUCUUACCCGGAGAGACAGCAGAAUGAAGGUCAAGCUGAAGACUUUACCAGACAAGCUGAGAGGUGGUGCAUGGCCGUCGCCAGCUCGUGCCGUGAGAUGUCCUGUUAAGUCAGGUAACGAGCGAGAUCCCUGCCUCUAGUUGCCACCAUUACUCUCAGGAGUAGUGGGGCGAAUUAGCGGGACCGCCGCAGUUAAUGCGGAGGAAGGAAGGGGCCACGGCAGGUCAGUAUGCCCCGAAACUCUGGGGCCACACGCGGGCUGCAAUGGUAACGACAAUUGGUUUCGAAUCCGAAAGGAUGAGGUAAUCCUCAAACGUUACCACAGUUAUGACUGAGGGCUGCAACUCGCCCUCACGAAUAUGGAAUCCCUAGUAACUGCGUGUCAUUAUCGCGCGGUGAAUACGUCCCUGCUCCUUGCACACACCGCCCGA